RNAcentral lists this transfer RNA (69 nucleotides) under Cynoscion nebulosus (spotted seatrout). Its description in RNAcentral is "tRNA-Ala". It matches the Rfam family "tRNA". From Rfam's summary of the family: Transfer RNA (tRNA) molecules are approximately 80 nucleotides in length. Their secondary structure includes four short double-helical elements and three loops (D, anti-codon, and T loops). Further hydrogen bonds mediate the characteristic L-shaped molecular structure. tRNAs have two regions of fundamental functional importance: the anti-codon, which is responsible for specific mRNA codon recognition, and the 3' end, to which the tRNAs corresponding amino acid is attached (by aminoacyl-tRNA synthetases). tRNAs cope with the degeneracy of the genetic code in two manners: having more than one tRNA (with a specific anti-codon) for a particular amino acid; and 'wobble' base-pairing, i.e. permitting non-standard base-pairing at the 3rd anti-codon position. RNAcentral also lists the same sequence under 6 other names. Lineage: Eukaryota; Metazoa; Chordata; Actinopteri; Sciaenidae. The record is from RNAcentral.
AAGGCUUUAGCUUAAUUAAAGUGUCUGUUUUGCAUACAGGAGAUGUGGGUUAGUGUCCCGCAAGUCUUA